Molecule: non-coding RNA, 57 nt
Filed under: unclassified sequences
Description: Na+-I sequence
Rfam family: Na+ riboswitch aptamer (DUF1646)
About the family: Proteobacteria, NC10, Acidobacteria, Verrucomicrobia.
Source: Rfam by way of RNAcentral
GGUUGGGUGGGCAAAGAUGCCUGCUUUCAAGAAAUUUGAUUUCCGGGGUGGGAAAUU